RNAcentral lists this ribosomal RNA (697 nucleotides) under Bathypathes sp. AT41-18-123. RNAcentral's name for it is "partial 28S ribosomal RNA". It matches the Rfam family "Eukaryotic large subunit ribosomal RNA", at positions 351 to 858 of the family's 3401-position model. The record is from RNAcentral. Lineage: Eukaryota; Metazoa; Cnidaria; Anthozoa; Antipatharia; Schizopathidae.
CCGUGAGGGAAAGAUGAAAAGGACUUUGGAAAGAGAGUUAAAAAGUACGUGAAACCGUUAAAAGGGAAACGAAUGGAGCUAGCAAUGCACCCAGUGAGAUUCAGCUGGUUGGUGAUUCGGCCGCGAUGUUUGCAGAUCUGAAUUGACUGCGGCAUUGUGGUUCGAACUCCCUGCCAUCGCACUUCUCGCGGGCGCGCGUCAACAUGGGUUGGGACCGGGUCUAAACGGCACCGGCAAGGUAAGUCCGCACCUCCGGGUACGUACUGUUCUAGGCCGGCGCACUCGCGGCCCGGACCCGACCGAGGCGAUGCAGCACAUGCCUCUUGUGGCUGGAGUCCCGUUCUUCCGGUUGGUUGUCGACUGUGGUGGACUGCGUGCAGUGCACCGCGACUGCUGCCGGUCGCUUGGGCGGCGACUUCGCAUGAUGUGCUUAGGAUGUUGGCGGUCAUAUGGCUUCAUCCGACCCGUCUUGAAACACGGACCAAGGAGUCUACCAUAUGCGCGAGUCUUUGGGUGAUUGAAACCCGCGGGCACAAUGAAAGUGAAGGCGGCUCCGGCCUGCCGAGGUGAGAACCUCCCCUCUCGGGGUGGCGCAUCAUCGACCGACCUAUUCUACUCUUAGGAAGGUUUGAGUAAGAGCGCAUUUGUUGGGACCCGAAAGAUGGUGAACUAUGCCUGAAUAGGGUGAAGCCAGAGG